CAGCGCCUAACACAUGCAAGUCGAACGGUGCUAGCAAUAGCAUAGUGGCGCACGGGUGCGUAACACGUAACUAACCUGCCCAUCACUGGGGGAUAGCCCGCCGAAAGGCGGAUUAAUACCGCAUAAGACAACAGAAGGGCAUCCUUUAGUUGUUAAAGAUUUAUUGGUGAUGGAUGGGGUUGCGGGUCAUUAGCUAGUUGGUUGGGUAACGGCUGACCAAGGCGACGAUGACUAGGGGAGCUGAGAGGCUGGUCCCCCACACGGGCACUGAGAUACGGGCCCGACUCCUACGGGAGGCAGCAGUAGGGAAUAUUGGGCAAUGGGCGAGAGCCUGACCCAGCCAUGCCGCGUGCAGGAAGAAGGCUUUCUGAGUCGUAAACUGCUUUUGACAGGGAAGAAUAAGCUGUACGUGUACAGUGAUGACGGUACCUGCAGAAUAAGCACCGGCUAACUCCGUGCCAGCAGCCGCGGUAAU
This 475-nucleotide ribosomal RNA is filed under the name uncultured bacterium. RNAcentral's name for it is "bacterial SSU rRNA". It matches the Rfam family "Bacterial small subunit ribosomal RNA", at positions 43 to 524 of the family's 1533-position model. The record is from RNAcentral.